This 498-nucleotide ribosomal RNA is filed under the name uncultured bacterium. RNAcentral describes it as "partial 16S ribosomal RNA". It matches the Rfam family "Bacterial small subunit ribosomal RNA", at positions 30 to 523 of the family's 1533-position model. The record is from RNAcentral.
ACUGAACGCUGGCGGCAUGCCUUACACAUGCAAGUCGAACGGUAACGCGGGGCAACCUGGCGACGAGUGGCGAACGGGUGAGUAAAGCAUCGGAACGUGCCCAGUAGUGGGGGAUAGCCCGGCGAAAGCCGGAUUAAUACCGCAUACGACCUACGGGUGAAAGCGGGGGACCGUAAGGCCUCGCGCUAUUGGAGCGGCCGAUGUCAGAUUAGGUAGUUGGUGGGGUAAAGGCCUACCAAGCCGACGAUCUGUAGCUGGUCUGAGAGGACGACCAGCCACACUGGGACUGAGACACGGCCCAGACUCCUACGGGAGGCAGCAGUGGGGAAUUUUGGACAAUGGGGGCAACCCUGAUCCAGCCAUGCCGCGUGCGGGAAGAAGGCCUUCGGGUUGUAAACCGCUUUUGUCAGGGAAGAAACGCGCUGAGCUAAUACCUCGGCGUAAUGACGGUACCUGAAGAAUAAGCACCGGCUAACUACGUGCCAGCAGCCGCAGUAA